Molecule: long non-coding RNA, 516 nt
Organism: Teleopsis dalmanni
Lineage: Eukaryota; Metazoa; Arthropoda; Insecta; Diptera; Diopsidae
Exons: 3
Source: RefSeq, a predicted model, not a curated record
CAAAUAUUUGUAACUUAUUGCUUUAAAUAUUCAAAAUGUUGUUUAAAGAUUUUUUCCAAGUAAAAGAAAUUGAAGAAAUAACACCAGAUACCUUUUGUGUUACAUGUGAAUCAAAUCGAUUAGGAAUAUCCAUGACUUUUAAUGUCGCCUCUUGCAUGAAGCAUUAUGUGCACUUAGGAGAGACGUUUUGGUUUACAUUAGCCAAAACUAUAAAUGUAUGCGGUUCAUAUGAAUGUGAUUAUGAUUCUGUUAAAUGUGGUACCAUUCAUGUUGUUCACACACCUGAGAAUUCUACAACAAUUUUAAGUGCUGAAUUUGGAAGACUUUUUCUUAGCUUAAAAGGAGAUUCGAAUAUAUUCAGUGGCGUGACUGCUGGUGAAGACCUAUAUAUGUUGCUUAAGGAACGGGAAUAGUUUUUUGUAGAGGCAAAUGUUCUGUUUAAGUAAUGAAUUAAGGAAAAAGUAAGGACCCACGAUCAACGUAUUUGUUGAAAGGAUUUUUUGGUGAUAAACAAAA